UGCUCAAGCUGAGUGGUCCAAAGGCGUU
RNAcentral lists this non-coding RNA (28 nucleotides) under Homo sapiens (human). The record is from RNAcentral. Lineage: Eukaryota; Metazoa; Chordata; Mammalia; Primates; Hominidae.